This 253-nucleotide ribosomal RNA is filed under the name uncultured bacterium. Its description in RNAcentral is "partial 16S ribosomal RNA". It matches the Rfam family "Bacterial small subunit ribosomal RNA", at positions 524 to 776 of the family's 1533-position model. The record is from RNAcentral.
UACAGAGGUCUCAAGCGUUGUUCGGAUUCAUUGGGCGUAAAGGGUGCGUAGGCGGCGGGGUAAGUCAGGUGUGAAAGCCCGGAGCUCAACUCCGGAACUGCCAUUGAAACUGUAGAACUUGAGGAUGAGAGAGGUGAGUGGAAUUCCCAGUGUAGAGGUGAAAUUCGUAGAUAUUGGGAAGAACACCGGUGGCGAAGGCGGCUCACUGGCUCAUUUCUGACGCUCAGGCGCGACAGCGUGGGGAUCAAACAGG